CAAUUUUCUGCCACCGAAUACAUUAGCAUGGGAUAAUGGAAUAGGACCCUGUCCUCCUAUUUUCAGUUGGUUUUGGCAGCGCGAGGACUAGGGUAAUGAUUAAUAGGGAUAGUUGGGGGCAUUAAUAUUUAAUUGUCAGAGGUGAAAUUCUUGGAUUUAUGAAAGAUUAACUUCUGCGAAAGCAUCUGCCAAGGAUGUUUUCAUUAAUCAAGAACGAAAGUUAGGGGAUCGAAGACGAUCAGAUACCGUCGUAGUCUUAACCAUAAACGAUGCCGACCAGCGAUUAGGAGACGUUGAAUACAAAACACCACCAUCGGUGCGGUCGUCCUUGGCGUCGGUCUUUCGGGGCCGGCGCGGGGACGGCUUAGCCCGGUGGCACCGGUGAAUGACUCCCCUAGCAGCUUGUGAGAA
This 411-nucleotide ribosomal RNA is filed under the name Acanthamoeba genotype T4. Its description in RNAcentral is "SSU rRNA". It matches the Rfam family "Eukaryotic small subunit ribosomal RNA", at positions 781 to 1096 of the family's 1831-position model. The record is from RNAcentral. Lineage: Eukaryota; Discosea; Longamoebia; Acanthamoebidae.